UAAUUUGGGUGCUCUAUCUACUAUACUGUGCUUACUUCUUUUUUUCCUCAAAGAUCAAUUGUAUGUUUGAUGGUAUAUUAAAAAUUUGUAUGUUUUAAGUUUCUAGAUGAUGAUUUUGUUUUGUUUGAGAUUGAUUUUGAUGAAGGUGUUUUCUAAAAAUUUGGGUUUAUUGUUAAAGAUGAUGAUGAACAAUGAAGAUCAUGAUAAACACAUUAGAUGUUUAUUAUUUUUUAAAAUAAAUUAUUUAAUUUAAA
This 254-nucleotide long non-coding RNA is filed under the name Trifolium pratense (red clover). RNAcentral describes it as "long non-coding RNA (TPRA_LNC000201)". Lineage: Eukaryota; Viridiplantae; Streptophyta; Magnoliopsida; Fabales; Fabaceae. The record is from RNAcentral.